RNAcentral lists this ribosomal RNA (2794 nucleotides) under Staphylococcus aureus. RNAcentral's name for it is "bacterial LSU rRNA". It matches the Rfam family "Bacterial large subunit ribosomal RNA". The record is from RNAcentral. Lineage: Bacteria; Bacillati; Bacillota; Bacilli; Caryophanales; Staphylococcaceae.
AGUUAUUAAGGGCGCACGGUGGAUGCCUUGGCACUAGAAGCCGAUGAAGGACGUUACUAACGACGAUAUGCUUUGGGGAGCUGUAAGUAAGCUUUGAUCCAGAGAUUUCCGAAUGGGGAAACCCAGCAUGAGUUAUGUCAUGUUAUCGAUAUGUGAAUACAUAGCAUAUCAGAAGGCACACCCGGAGAACUGAAACAUCUUAGUACCCGGAGGAAGAGAAAGAAAAUUCGAUUCCCUUAGUAGCGGCGAGCGAAACGGGAAGAGCCCAAACCAACAAGCUUGCUUGUUGGGGUUGUAGGACACUCUAUACGGAGUUACAAAGGACGACAUUAGACGAAUCAUCUGGAAAGAUGAAUCAAAGAAGGUAAUAAUCCUGUAGUCGAAAAUGUUGUCUCUCUUGAGUGGAUCCUGAGUACGACGGAGCACGUGAAAUUCCGUCGGAAUCUGGGAGGACCAUCUCCUAAGGCUAAAUACUCUCUAGUGACCGAUAGUGAACCAGUACCGUGAGGGAAAGGUGAAAAGCACCCCGGAAGGGGAGUGAAAUAGAACCUGAAACCGUGUGCUUACAAGUAGUCAGAGCCCGUUAAUGGGUGAUGGCGUGCCUUUUGUAGAAUGAACCGGCGAGUUACGAUUUGAUGCAAGGUUAAGCAGUAAAUGUGGAGCCGUAGCGAAAGCGAGUCUGAAUAGGGCGUUUAGUAUUUGGUCGUAGACCCGAAACCAGGUGAUCUACCCUUGGUCAGGUUGAAGUUCAGGUAACACUGAAUGGAGGACCGAACCGACUUACGUUGAAAAGUGAGCGGAUGAACUGAGGGUAGCGGAGAAAUUCCAAUCGAACCUGGAGAUAGCUGGUUCUCUCCGAAAUAGCUUUAGGGCUAGCCUCAAGUGAUGAUUAUUGGAGGUAGAGCACUGUUUGGACGAGGGGCCCCUCUCGGGUUACCGAAUUCAGACAAACUCCGAAUGCCAAUUAAUUUAACUUGGGAGUCAGAACAUGGGUGAUAAGGUCCGUGUUCGAAAGGGAAACAGCCCAGACCACCAGCUAAGGUCCCAAAAUAUAUGUUAAGUGGAAAAGGAUGUGGCGUUGCCCAGACAACUAGGAUGUUGGCUUAGAAGCAGCCAUCAUUUAAAGAGUGCGUAAUAGCUCACUAGUCGAGUGACACUGCGCCGAAAAUGUACCGGGGCUAAACAUAUUACCGAAGCUGUGGAUUGUCCUUUGGACAAUGGUAGGAGAGCGUUCUAAGGGCGUUGAAGCAUGAUCGUAAGGACAUGUGGAGCGCUUAGAAGUGAGAAUGCCGGUGUGAGUAGCGAAAGACGGGUGAGAAUCCCGUCCACCGAUUGACUAAGGUUUCCAGAGGAAGGCUCGUCCGCUCUGGGUUAGUCGGGUCCUAAGCUGAGGCCGACAGGCGUAGGCGAUGGAUAACAGGUUGAUAUUCCUGUACCACCUAUAAUCGUUUUAAUCGAUGGGGGGACGCAGUAGGAUAGGCGAAGCGUGCGAUUGGAUUGCACGUCUAAGCAGUAAGGCUGAGUAUUAGGCAAAUCCGGUACUCGUUAAGGCUGAGCUGUGAUGGGGAGAAGACAUUGUGUCUUCGAGUCGUUGAUUUCACACUGCCGAGAAAAGCCUCUAGAUAGAAAAUAGGUGCCCGUACCGCAAACCGACACAGGUAGUCAAGAUGAGAAUUCUAAGGUGAGCGAGCGAACUCUCGUUAAGGAACUCGGCAAAAUGACCCCGUAACUUCGGGAGAAGGGGUGCUCUUUAGGGUUAACGCCCAGAAGAGCCGCAGUGAAUAGGCCCAAGCGACUGUUUAUCAAAAACACAGGUCUCUGCUAAACCGUAAGGUGAUGUAUAGGGGCUGACGCCUGCCCGGUGCUGGAAGGUUAAGAGGAGUGGUUAGCUUCUGCGAAGCUACGAAUCGAAGCCCCAGUAAACGGCGGCCGUAACUAUAACGGUCCUAAGGUAGCGAAAUUCCUUGUCGGGUAAGUUCCGACCCGCACGAAAGGCGUAACGAUUUGGGCACUGUCUCAACGAGAGACUCGGUGAAAUCAUAGUACCUGUGAAGAUGCAGGUUACCCGCGACAGGACGGAAAGACCCCGUGGAGCUUUACUGUAGCCUGAUAUUGAAAUUCGGCACAGCUUGUACAGGAUAGGUAGGAGCCUUUGAAACGUGAGCGCUAGCUUACGUGGAGGCGCUGGUGGGAUACUACCCUAGCUGUGUUGGCUUUCUAACCCGCACCACUUAUCGUGGUGGGAGACAGUGUCAGGCGGGCAGUUUGACUGGGGCGGUCGCCUCCUAAAAGGUAACGGAGGCGCUCAAAGGUUCCCUCAGAAUGGUUGGAAAUCAUUCAUAGAGUGUAAAGGCAUAAGGGAGCUUGACUGCGAGACCUACAAGUCGAGCAGGGUCGAAAGACGGACUUAGUGAUCCGGUGGUUCCGCAUGGAAGGGCCAUCGCUCAACGGAUAAAAGCUACCCCGGGGAUAACAGGCUUAUCUCCCCCAAGAGUUCACAUCGACGGGGAGGUUUGGCACCUCGAUGUCGGCUCAUCGCAUCCUGGGGCUGUAGUCGGUCCCAAGGGUUGGGCUGUUCGCCCAUUAAAGCGGUACGCGAGCUGGGUUCAGAACGUCGUGAGACAGUUCGGUCCCUAUCCGUCGUGGGCGUAGGAAAUUUGAGAGGAGCUGUCCUUAGUACGAGAGGACCGGGAUGGACAUACCUCUGGUGUACCAGUUGUCGUGCCAACGGCAUAGCUGGGUAGCUAUGUGUGGACGGGAUAAGUGCUGAAAGCAUCUAAGCAUGAAGCCCCCC